Molecule: long non-coding RNA, 724 nt
Organism: Perca flavescens (yellow perch)
Lineage: Eukaryota; Metazoa; Chordata; Actinopteri; Perciformes; Percidae
Exons: 2
Source: RefSeq, a predicted model, not a curated record
CACCAGGUUUGCCGCCAGCACGCGACCAAACCCAUAAACCUGACACACAGAGAGAUCUAUUCACACUAACAGAAUAGAGAACAAGAACAUGUAACAAAUUCAGCAUGACUAAUGCCUCUGUGAGUAAUCCAACAUGCUGUCAAUCAUUACUCACACAGAGAGCACUGUCUCCGCUCUCAUUGGUCCGAAUGUGGACCUGCUGUGCGCUUCUUCAAAGCCCAGUCCCGUGACUCCCAUCGUGAGGCGAAAGACCCAGGGCCGAGCUGCGUUGGGUGCAGCAGAGGAAGAAAGGCAGUGAUUAUAUGGACAUGGGUUGUUCUUGUCGCCGCGGUCACGGCCAAAGACCCGCUCACCCCACUUUCAUGUGUCCCUGCUCAGGAGUGCCUGGAAGGUGAUGCAACGGUAGGAGGCUGUGAUCCAGUCAAAGGUGGCAGCAUCCGCUCUGGUUCUGCACUAAGAUGGAGCCGCGUGCAGGUGCAUCGGCCAAGUGCUAUUCAAGUUUUGGCAGCUACUUUGUUUUUAUUGUGUCCUUUUUUUUUUUUUUUAAGUACAUCAGCAGCAUAUGUACAGUAUAGUAGAGCUGAGAUUUGAAUGUUCUAUUUUGUUAUUUUACUAUUUAAAUUUUAUAUUUCUGUUUGUUUGUUUAACUGUCAUGUUGAGAGCUGCUUAACUCCGUUGUGUUGUUGAAAACAAUGACAAUAAAGAUCUGUUCUGUUCUAUUCCA